This 500-nucleotide ribosomal RNA is filed under the name uncultured bacterium. RNAcentral's name for it is "partial 16S ribosomal RNA". It matches the Rfam family "Bacterial small subunit ribosomal RNA", at positions 28 to 507 of the family's 1533-position model. The record is from RNAcentral.
GACGAACGCUGGCGGCGUGCUUAACACAUGCAAGUCGAACGGGUCUGCCCUGUUUUUUGCGGGGUGGGUCAGUGGCGAACGGGUGAGUAACACGUGAGUAACCUGCCCCUCACCUCUGGAUAACCGCUUGAAAGGGUGGCUAAUACGGGGUGUUCUGGCUGUGCCGCAUGGUGUGGCUGGGAAAGAUUCACUUUUGUGGUGUUUUGGUGGGGGAUGGGCUCGCGGCCUGUCAGCUUGUUGGGGGGGUGAUGGCCUGCCAAGGCUUUGACGGGGAGCCGGCCUGAGAGGGUGGGCGGCCACACUGGGACUGAGAUACGGUCCAGACUCCGGCGGGAGGCAGCAUUGGGGGGUAUGGCACAAUGGGCGGAAGCCUGAUGCAGCGACGUCGCGUGAGGGAUGGAGGCCUUCGGGUUGUGAACCUCUUUCGCCGGUGAAGAAGGUCCUGCUCUUUGUGGUGGGGUUGACGGUAGCCGGGUUAUGAAGCGCCGGCUAACUACGUG